GUGGAGUCUGGGAGUUGUAAAACUCCUUCAUAUUUUGCUCGAAGUGUACCUGCUCAUAGAGACAAGGAAGAGAUCAAGUGCAUUGGCCCUAUUGGUGGAAAACACCAACAGAACCAAAAGUGUAUUUGUUCUCUCUAACCUUAAGCAGAGUGAGCAAGACAAAAGUUGAUGGAUAAUAAGAUCAUGAGUGUAGCAUUUAAAACAUUUGUCAGAUC
RNAcentral lists this long non-coding RNA (215 nucleotides) under Sorghum bicolor (sorghum). RNAcentral's name for it is "long non-coding RNA (SBIC_LNC002278)". Lineage: Eukaryota; Viridiplantae; Streptophyta; Magnoliopsida; Poales; Poaceae. The record is from RNAcentral.